GUCCACGCCCUAAAACGUUGAUUACUCGUUGUUGGCGAUAUACAGUCAGCGACCAAGCUAAAGCGUUAAGUAAUCCACCUGGGAAGUACGACCGCAAGGUUGAAACUCAAAGGAAUUGACGGGGCCCGCACAAGCGGAGGAGCAUGUGGUUUAAUUCGAUGAUACGCGAGGAACCUUACCUGGGCUUGAAAGUUAGUGUCUUUCUGUGAAAGCAGAAUUCUCUUCGGAGCACAAAACUAGGUGCUGCAUGGCUGUCGU
Molecule: ribosomal RNA, 258 nt
Filed under: uncultured bacterium
Lineage: Bacteria
Description: partial 16S ribosomal RNA
Rfam family: Bacterial small subunit ribosomal RNA
Source: RNAcentral